This 753-nucleotide ribosomal RNA is filed under the name uncultured bacterium. RNAcentral's name for it is "bacterial SSU rRNA". It matches the Rfam family "Bacterial small subunit ribosomal RNA", at positions 801 to 1533 of the family's 1533-position model. The record is from RNAcentral.
GACAGUGGUGACACACAUAUAUAUAUCUCUGUGUCUCCCCUAAAAGACUCGUUUUGUGUUUCCUGGUACGUGCGGGUUAACACUUAAGGCUCCCCCCUGGGAUUAGAGCUCAAGAUUAAACUUAAGGAAUUGACGGGAACCGCACAAGCAGUGGAGUAUGUCGUUAAUUCGUGCUACGCGAGAACAUACCGAUCCUUGACAUCUGGUCGCGACUUCCAGAGAUGGUGUCUCAAUUCGGUUGGACCAAAGACAGAUGCUGCAUGGCUGUCGUCAGCUCGUGUCGUGAGAUGUUAGGUUAAGUCCUGCAACGAGCGCAACCCACGCCCUAUGUUGCCAGCGGGUAAUGCCGGGAACUCUUAGGGGACUGCCCGCGUCAAGCGGGAGGAAGGUGUGGAUGACGUCAAGUCAUCAUGGUUCUUACGGGUCGGGCUACAAACGUACUACAAUGGCGUAAACAAAGGGAAGCAGAGUCGUGAGGCCGAGCGAAUCCCUAAAAACCGUCUCAGAUCGGAUUGUAGUCUGCAACUCGACUACAUGAAGCUGGAAUCGCUAGUAAUCGUGAAUCAGAAUGCCACGGUGAAUACGUUCCCGGGUCUUGUACACACCGCCCGUCACACCAUGGGAGUCGGUAACGCCCGAAGUGCGUGACUCAACCGCAAGGAGAGAGCGCCCGAAGGCGGGACUGAUAACUGGGGGGAAGUCGUAACAAGGUAGCCGUAUCGGAAGGUGCGUCUGGAUCACCUCCUUCUGAUC